ACAUGCAAGUCGAGCGAUCUUCUUCGGAAGAGAGCGGCGGACGGGUGAGUAACGCGUGGGUAACCUGCCCUGUACACACGGAUAACAUACCGAAAGGUAUGCUAAUACGGGAUAACAUAAGAAAGUCGCAUGGCUUUCUUAUCAAAGCUUUUGCGGUACAGGAUGGACCCGCGUCUGAUUAGCUAGUUGGUAAGGUAACGGCUUACCAAGGCGACGAUCAGUAGCCGACCUGAGAGGGUGAUCGGCCACAUUGGAACUGAGACACGGUCCAAACUCCUACGGGAGGCAGCAGUGGGGAAUAUUGCACAAUGGGCGAAAGCCUGAUGCAGCAACGCCGCGUGAGCGAUGAAGGCCUUCGGGUCGUAAAGCUCUGUCCUCAAGGAAGAUAAUGACGGUACUUGAGGAGGAAGCCCCGGCUAACUACGUGCCAGCAGCCGCGGUAAUACGUAGGGGGCUAGCGUUAUCCGGAAUUACUGGGCGUAAAGGGUGCGUAGGCGGUCUUUCAAGUCAGAAGUGAAAGGCUACGGCUCAACCGUAGUAAGCUUUUGAAACUGUAAGACUUGAGUGCAGGAGAGGAGAGUGGAAUUCCUAGUGUAGCGGUGAAAUGCGUAGAUAUUAGGAGGAACACCAGUUGCGAAGGCGGCUCUCUGAACUGUAACUGACGCUGAGGCACGAAAGCGUGGGGAGCAAACAGG
This 695-nucleotide ribosomal RNA is filed under the name uncultured Clostridium sp. RNAcentral's name for it is "bacterial SSU rRNA". It matches the Rfam family "Bacterial small subunit ribosomal RNA", at positions 53 to 776 of the family's 1533-position model. The record is from RNAcentral. Lineage: Bacteria; Bacillati; Bacillota; Clostridia; Eubacteriales; Clostridiaceae.